GACGAACGCUGGCGGCGUGCUUAACACAUGCAAGUCGAACGGAAAGGCCCCUUUGGGGGUACUCGAGUGGCGAACGGGUGAGUAACACGUGAGUAACCUGCCCUUGACUUCGGGAUAACUUCAGGAAACUGGGGCUAAUACCGGAUAGGAAUCCUUGCUGCAUGGUGGGGGUUGGAAAGCUUCGGCGGUUUUGGAUGGACUCGCGGCUUAUCAGCUUGUUGGUGGGGUAGUGGCUUACCAAGGCUUUGACGGGUAGCCGGCCUGAGAGGGCGACCGGCCACAUUGGGAAUGAGAUACGGCCCAGACUCCUACGGGAGGCAGCAGUGGGGAAUAUUGCACAAUGGGCGGAAGCCUGAUGCAGCAACGCCGCGUGCGGGAUGACGGCCUUCGGGUUGUAAACCGCUUUCAGCAGGGGCGAAGCUUGUGGUGACGGUACCUGCAGAAGAAGCACCGGCUAACUACGUG
RNAcentral lists this ribosomal RNA (465 nucleotides) under uncultured bacterium. Its description in RNAcentral is "partial 16S ribosomal RNA". It matches the Rfam family "Bacterial small subunit ribosomal RNA", at positions 28 to 507 of the family's 1533-position model. The record is from RNAcentral.